RNAcentral lists this ribosomal RNA (315 nucleotides) under Salmonella enterica subsp. enterica serovar Muenster. RNAcentral's name for it is "bacterial LSU rRNA". It matches the Rfam family "Bacterial large subunit ribosomal RNA", at positions 1084 to 1397 of the family's 2925-position model. Lineage: Bacteria; Pseudomonadati; Pseudomonadota; Gammaproteobacteria; Enterobacterales; Enterobacteriaceae. RNAcentral also lists the same sequence under 1 other name. The record is from RNAcentral.
CCCAGACAGCCAGGAUGUUGGCUUAGAAGCAGCCAUCAUUUAAAGAAAGCGUAAUAGCUCACUGGUCGAGUCGGCCUGCGCGGAAGAUGUAACGGGGCUAAACCAUGCACCGAAGCUGCGGCAGCGACACUCAGGUGUUGUUGGGUAGGGGAGCGUUCUGUAAGCCUGUGAAGGUGUGCUGUGAGGCAUGCUGGAGGUAUCAGAAGUGCGAAUGCUGACAUAAGUAACGAUAAAGCGGGUGAAAAGCCCGCUCGCCGGAAGACCAAGGGUUCCUGUCCAACGUUAAUCGGGGCAGGGUGAGUCGACCCCUAAGGC